UGAGGAAUCUUGCGCAAUGGGGGCAACCCUGACGCAGCAACGCCGCGUGAGUGAAGAAGGCCUUCGGGUCGUAAAGCUCUGUCAAGUGGGAAGAAUAGCCUUAAGGUGAAUAAUCUUAAGGUAUGACGGUACCACUGGAGGAAGCACCGGCUAACUCCGUGCCAGCAGCCGCGGUAAUACGGAGGGUGCAAGCGUUAUUCGGAAUUAUUGGGCGUAAAGAGCGUAUUGGCGGCUGGAUAAGUCAGAUGUGAAAUCCCUGGGCUCAACCCAGGAAGUGCAUUUGAAACUUUCUAGCUAGAGGUUGGUAGGGGAAAACAGAAUUCCACGUGUAGCGGUGAAAUGCGUAGAUAUGUGGAAGAAUACCGGUGGUGAAGACGGUUUUCUGUACUAAACCUGACGCUGAGGCGCGAAAGCUAGGGGAGCAAACAGG
RNAcentral lists this ribosomal RNA (430 nucleotides) under uncultured bacterium. RNAcentral describes it as "bacterial SSU rRNA". It matches the Rfam family "Bacterial small subunit ribosomal RNA", at positions 355 to 776 of the family's 1533-position model. The record is from RNAcentral.